This 342-nucleotide long non-coding RNA is filed under the name Populus trichocarpa (black cottonwood). Its description in RNAcentral is "long non-coding RNA (PTRI_LNC003744)". Lineage: Eukaryota; Viridiplantae; Streptophyta; Magnoliopsida; Malpighiales; Salicaceae. The record is from RNAcentral.
CCAUUUUGCAGUUCAUGACGGAUCUUCUUUUAUCCCCUGAAAAAUAAAGCAAUGGGAGUCUCUAUGGCUGCAUGAUAUGGUGGCCUAUGUAGCAAAAUAUAUAGAGCUUCCAAGUUCCAAUCUUUGAGCAUUGGUGAAAUAAAUUAAUAUAUAUAUAUAUAUAUAUAUAUAUAUGAAUAUAUAUAUAUAUAUAUGAACUUAGGAGAGGCCAAAAGCCAGAAUAGAUUGAGAAGAAUAAAUAUCUUUGGCAAAGAACUAGGAGCCAGAUUCUUGAGGGUUAGAGAAUUGAAGAAUAUUUCGGCAAUAUUAAUUCCUUUCUUCUUCUUUUUCACUUUCUUUAUU